Non-coding RNA from Dictyocaulus viviparus (bovine lungworm), 70 nucleotides. The record is from the annotation of a GenBank genome assembly. Lineage: Eukaryota; Metazoa; Nematoda; Chromadorea; Rhabditida; Metastrongylidae.
GCACUUUAGUUCAAUGGAAGAAUGCUCGUCUGCUAUGCGGGCGAUCAGUGUUUGAUUCUCGGGCAAUGCA